GAUGAACGCUAGCGGCAGGCUUAACACAUGCAAGUCGAGGGGGCAGCGGGGAGGAGGUAGCAAUACCACCUUGCCGGCGACCGGCGGAAGGGUGCGUAAACGCGUGAGCAACCUGCCCGUCACUGGGGAAUAACCGUUGGAAACGACGACUAAUACCCCAUAGUUCUGGAGGGAGGCAUCUCCCAUCAGGUAAAGAGAUUCGGUGACGGAUGGGCUCGCGUGACAUUAGCUAGUU
This 235-nucleotide ribosomal RNA is filed under the name uncultured bacterium. Its description in RNAcentral is "partial 16S ribosomal RNA". It matches the Rfam family "Bacterial small subunit ribosomal RNA", at positions 28 to 250 of the family's 1533-position model. The record is from RNAcentral.